RNAcentral lists this ribosomal RNA (861 nucleotides) under uncultured bacterium. Its description in RNAcentral is "bacterial SSU rRNA". It matches the Rfam family "Bacterial small subunit ribosomal RNA", at positions 28 to 896 of the family's 1533-position model. The record is from RNAcentral.
GAUGAACGCUGGCGGCGUGCUUAACACAUGCAAGUCGAACGCUGAAGCUCCAGCUUGCUGGGGUGGAUGAGUGGCGAACGGGUGAGUAACACGUGAGUAACCUUCCCUUGACUCUGGGAUAAGCCCGGGAAACUGGGUCUAAUACCGGAUAUGACCUCCUGUCGCAUGGUGGGGGGUGGAAAGAUUUAUCGGUCUUGGAUGGACUCGCGGCCUAUCAGCUUGUUGGUGAGGUAAUGGCUCACCAAGGCGACGACGGGUAGCCGGCCUGAGAGGGUGACCGGCCACACUGGGACUGAGACACGGCCCAGACUCCUACGGGAGGCAGCAGUGGGGAAUAUUGCACAAUGGGCGCAAGCCUGAUGCAGCGACGCCGCGUGAGGGAUGACGGCCUUCGGGUUGUAAACCUCUUUCAGUAGGGAAGAAGCCUUCGGGUGACGGUACCUGCAGAAGAAGCGCCGGCUAACUACGUGCCAGCAGCCGCGGUAAUACGUAGGGCGCGAGCGUUAUCCGGAAUUAUUGGGCGUAAAGAGCUCGUAGGCGGUUUGUCGCGUCUGCCGUGAAAGUCCGGGGCUUAACCCCGGAUCUGCGGUGGGUACGGGCAGACUAGAGUGCAGUAGGGGAGACCGGAAUUCCUGGUGUAGCGGUGAAAUGCGCAGAUAUCAGGAGGAACACCGAUGGCGAAGGCAGGUCUCUGGGCUGUUACUGACGCUGAGGAGCGAAAGCAUGGGGAGCGAACAGGAUUAGAUACCCUGGUAGUCCAUGCCGUAAACGUUGGGCACUAGGUGUGGGGGACAUUCCACGUUUUCCGCGCCGCAGCUAACGCAUUAAGUGCCCCGCCUGGGGAGUACGGCCGCAAGGCUA